CCGCUGAAUUUAAGCAUAUCACUAAGCGGAGGAAAAGAAACUAACCAGGAUUCCCCUAGUAACGGCGAGUGAAGAGGGAAAAGCCCAGCACCGAAGCCUGUGGCAGUUUUGCUGCUAGGCAAUGUGGUGUUUAGGUCGGCUCGUGGGAUCGCCACUCCACUCGAAGUCCAGCAUUGAGUAUGGUUCCCAGGAAUUGGCCCAUAGAGGGUGAAAGGCCCGUACGAGUGGAAGUGUCAGAUGUGUAAGGCGAUUCACCAGGCCGGCCUUAGAGUCGGGUUGUUUGCGAAUGCAGCCCAAAGCGGGUGGUAAACUCCAUCCAAGGCUAAAUACUAGCACGAGUCCGAUAGCGAACAAGUACCGUGAGGGAAAGUUGAAAAGUACUUUGAAGAGAGAGUAAACAGUACGUGAAACCGCAUAGAGGUAAACGGGUGGCGUCAAGCUGCAAGCCUGGAGAAUUCAGUCGGUCAGGGUGUGUGCCCAGGGAGUUUGGCUAGUCCGCCGGAAAAUGGCGGGCCCAGCUGUCAAAGGCUGGGAUUUGCGUACCGGGAGGUAGCCGGAACUUGCUAGCCAUCUGUUGGACUGUCUGGCCGAUGCACUUUCUCUGUUGGUAAACACCACGACCGGUGGUACUGCCAGUCUGCUGUGGCCAGCUUCAUUGCACGCCUCGGUGUGUGAUGAUCACAGACAAUUUCAGUGCACGGUGCUCGUUUGCUUCUUGCAGACGGGCAUGUUAUCGGGUACUGGUUGUAAACGGGUCGGCCUGUCGACUUGUCUGUAGUCGGAGUUGACGGGUGACUCGGUGGGCUACGGUGGUAUGAAUAACUGUGCAGGGCACCGGAGUUUUCGGUCUGAUGGUGAUCGCUUGCGAUUGCCGCCGGCUGCACACGUCCUGCAGUUUAGCGUGUGUGUUUGUGUGCACAGAUGGCGCUGCUACUGCCUGCCAGUCGUUGGGUCUGAUUGUCGUGUCGCCUGCCAAAAUGGCGGGUCCGGCAGUGGCCUGGCGGUGGAUGGUGUUAGUAGACGGCGUUGUCGUAGUGCAGCCGGUCGAUGGACCAGAUAGUCUGUGGUGUAGUGGUAGACGAGCUACCCGACCCGUCUUGAAACACGGACCAAGGAGUUUAACAUGCGCGCGAGUCAUUGGGUAGUACGAAACCCAAAGGCGCAGUGAAAGUGAAGCCUCGACAUAUAUUGUUCUCGGGGUGUGGUGAGAUCCCGCUGUUUCUCGCACACAGCUGUCCAGCUAGACGAGCAGUGGGCGCAUCACCGGCCCGUCCCAUGAUGUGGCUAUUUGUUGGUGGCAGCCUAUGCCAGUGUCGGCUCUCGGGUCCGGCGCUGGUGGUUG
Molecule: ribosomal RNA, 1342 nt
Filed under: Archigetes sieboldi
Lineage: Eukaryota; Metazoa; Platyhelminthes; Cestoda; Caryophyllidea; Caryophyllaeidae
Description: eukaryotic LSU rRNA
Rfam family: Eukaryotic large subunit ribosomal RNA
Source: RNAcentral